Molecule: unclassified non-coding RNA, 530 nt
Filed under: Hevea brasiliensis (rubber tree)
Lineage: Eukaryota; Viridiplantae; Streptophyta; Magnoliopsida; Malpighiales; Euphorbiaceae
Source: RNAcentral
GGCUGAGUACCUUCCGACAUUAGAAGAGAUGCUUGAAUCACAGAUUAAAGAUGCAGUUGCAUCCAUUGAAAGUAGAAGGAAGCUCAUUAUAGCAUUAGCUCCUCUCUUUGGAAGGCCAGUGGAAGCAGAUCCACUUUUCUGCAGGAAGGCGACCUUUCUAUCUUCCUCUGGGGUAUUUACUUUUCUGGUUCAUGUUGCCAUCCCACUUCAGUUCCCUAAGCAGCAGCCAAGUUUGAUGCUUCAGAGUUCCCAGCACUUUAAUUCUCAAGGUCUACCCAUCAAGUCUCCAGUCACUGCUGAGUACCCGUGGAGUCCCAGAUGGGAAACAUCAGAUAUGGCUGAGCGGAUCUUUGAUUUCAUUGUGGAAGAAUGCUUGAAUUUCAAGAAAUACUGCAACGAAUCCAUGCUUCAGAAUCGAUGAAAGCAGCUGUUACAAGAAUUCGUUUGUUCUACAUUUUGGUGAUGUCCUGUAUUCAAGUCUUUAGCUGUUGAUCUUUGUAUUGUAAUGUUUCUAGAUGUGCAUAAGAAAG